GUGGAUUAGAUACCCUGGUAGUCCACGCCGUAAACGAUGUCGACUAGCCGUUGGGAUCCUUGAGAUCUUAGUGGCGCAGCUAACGCAUUAAGUCGACCGCCUGGGGAGUACGGCCGCAAGGUUAAAACUCAAAUGAAUUGACGGGGGCCCGCACAAGCGGUGGAGCAUGUGGUUUAAUUCGAAGCAACGCGAAGAACCUUACCAGGCCUUGACAUGCAGAGAACUUUCCAGAGAUGGAUUGGUGCCUUCGGGAACUCUGACACAGGUGCUGCAUGGUCGUCGUCAACU
Molecule: ribosomal RNA, 288 nt
Filed under: uncultured bacterium
Lineage: Bacteria
Description: partial 16S ribosomal RNA
Rfam family: Bacterial small subunit ribosomal RNA
Source: RNAcentral